This 404-nucleotide unclassified non-coding RNA is filed under the name soil metagenome. RNAcentral's name for it is "partial contains 5.8S ribosomal RNA, internal transcribed spacer 2, and large subunit ribosomal RNA". The stretch from base 1 to 122 matches the Rfam family "5.8S ribosomal RNA", at positions 35 to 154 of the family's 154-position model. The record is from RNAcentral.
GAUGAAGAACGUAGUAAAAUGCGAUACUUGGGGUGAAUUGCAGAAUCCCGUGAACCAUCGAGUUUUUGAACGCAAGUUGCGCCCGAAGCCUUUUGGCCGAGGGCACGUCUGCCUGGGCGUCACGCAUCGCGUCGCCCCCCACAAUUCUCCGUAAAGGGAACAUGUGUUUUGGGGGCGGAUAUUGGUCUCCCGUGCUCAUGGCGUGGUUGGCCGAAAUAGGAGUCCUUUCGAUGGACGCACGAACUAGUGGUGGUCGUAAAAACCCUCGUCUUUUGUUUCGUGCUGUUGCUCGCAAGGUAAACUCUUUAAAAACCCCAAUGUGUCGUCUCUUGACGACGCUUCGACCGCGACCCCAGGUCAGGCGGGACUACCCGCUGAGUUUAAGCAUAUCAAUAAGCGGAGGA